Molecule: ribosomal RNA, 484 nt
Filed under: uncultured bacterium
Lineage: Bacteria
Description: partial 16S ribosomal RNA
Rfam family: Bacterial small subunit ribosomal RNA
Source: RNAcentral
AUUGAACGCUGGCGGCAGGCCUAACACAUGCCAGUCGAGCGGAUGAUGGGAGCUUGCUCCUGGAUUCAGCGGCGGACGGGUGAGUAAUGCCUAGGAAUCUGCCUGGUAGUGGGGGAUAACGUCCGGAAACGGGCGCUAAUACCGCAUACGUCCUGAGGGAGAAAGUGGGGGAUCUUCGGACCUCACGCUAUCAGAUGAGCCUAGGUCGGAUUAGCUAGUUGGUGGGGUAAAGGCCUACCAAGGCGACGAUCCGUAACUGGUCUGAGAGGAUGAUCAGUCACACUGGAACUGAGACACGGUCCAGACUCCUACGGGAGGCAGCAGUGGGGAAUAUUGGACAAUGGGCGAAAGCCUGAUCCAGCCAUGCCGCGUGUGUGAAGAAGGUCUUCGGAUUGUAAAGCACUUUAAGUUGGGAGGAAGGGCAGUAAGUUAAUACCUUGCUGUUUUGACGUUACCAACAGAAUAAGCACCGGCUAACUUCGUG